Molecule: ribosomal RNA, 253 nt
Filed under: uncultured bacterium
Lineage: Bacteria
Description: partial 16S ribosomal RNA
Rfam family: Bacterial small subunit ribosomal RNA
Source: RNAcentral
UACGGGGGGAGCAAACGUUGUUCGGAAUCACUGGGCGUAAAGGGCGUGUAGGCGGCUGAAUAAGUGGGAUGUUAAAUCCCCCGGCUCAACCGGGGACCUGCAUCUCAUACUGUUCAGCUCGAGCACAUCAGAGGAGACUGGAAUUCCGCGUGUAGCAGUGAAAUGCGUAGAUAUGCGGAGGAACACCGAUGGCGAAGGCAAUCCCCUGGGCCUGCACUGACGCUCAUGCACGAAAGCGUGGGGAGCAAACAGG